This 115-nucleotide ribosomal RNA is filed under the name Escherichia coli. RNAcentral also lists the same sequence under 4 other names. The record is from RNAcentral. Lineage: Bacteria; Pseudomonadati; Pseudomonadota; Gammaproteobacteria; Enterobacterales; Enterobacteriaceae.
UGGCGGCAUUAGCGCGGUGGUCCCACCUGACCCCAUGCCGAACUCAGAAGUGAAACGCCGUAGCGCCGAUGGUAGUGUGGGGUCUCCCCAUGCGAGAGUAGGGAACUGCCAGACA